Molecule: ribosomal RNA, 346 nt
Filed under: uncultured bacterium
Lineage: Bacteria
Description: bacterial SSU rRNA
Rfam family: Bacterial small subunit ribosomal RNA
Source: RNAcentral
AGCUUGCUCUUAUGAAGUUAGCGGCGGACGGGUGAGUAACACGUGGGUAACCUACCCAUAAGACUGGGAUAACUCCGGGAAACCGGGGCUAAUACCGGAUAUGACGCCAACCCGCAUGGGUAUGGUGUGGAAAGUUUUUCGGUGGAGGAUGGACUCGCGGCCUAUCAGCUUGUUGGUGAGGUAAUGGCUCACCAAGGCGACGACGGGUAGCCUGCCUGAGAGGGCGACCGGCCACACUGGGACUGAGACACGGCCCAGACUCCUACGGGAGGCAGCAGUGGGGAAUAUUGCACAAUGGGCGAAAGCCUGAUGCAGCGACGCCGCGUGAAGGAUUAAGGCCUUCGGG